UCAGAUAGGUGUCGGAUUUUAUUUCUCACUUUAUGGGUGUCAGAAAAAUAUGAAACUUUAAAUCUAGCCUUAUAAAAAUAUUUCUGACUUAUCCUCCAAUUUUCAUAAUUUUCUGAGACUGUGCAUUUUCUGCUAAUUUAUCUGUCCCGUUUCCAAUAGAAAAUUCUAGAUCUUCUGUUUUCAUUCCGAUUUCAGCACAAGUCACUUCUGACUUAUAUUUUACUUCUAUAAAUCCAAUAAAAAUAGUUUCUCACACUAUUUUUAUUUAUUUUUAUUUUUAUACCAAAAUCUGGUAUGUUAC
This 301-nucleotide long non-coding RNA is filed under the name Ananas comosus (pineapple). Its description in RNAcentral is "long non-coding RNA (ACOM_LNC043465)". Lineage: Eukaryota; Viridiplantae; Streptophyta; Magnoliopsida; Poales; Bromeliaceae. The record is from RNAcentral.